Molecule: long non-coding RNA, 1383 nt
Filed under: Ailuropoda melanoleuca (giant panda)
Lineage: Eukaryota; Metazoa; Chordata; Mammalia; Carnivora; Ursidae
Description: lncRNA (ENSAMEG00000028273.1)
Source: RNAcentral
GGAAAGAAACCCAGCUUGACCUCCUGGCUGCACCUGCUGGGAGGAGACUGGCUGGGUGGGUGGCAGAGGGCAGGUUAGGACCUCAGCCUCUGCUUCCCUGAGGCACCUGCAGAUACUGGUGAGAGAGAGGGAGGAGGAAAGGAGGGAGGAGGGAGGGAGGGAGGGGCCAUAGGGCUGGGACAGGUCUGACUACAAGGGGGGAGGGAACAUCAAUGUUUAGGGCUCUGAGAAGCACUGAGGAAUGUUAGUGCAGGGAUAGCACUAGCAGUAACAGCAGUCCUUGACUGGCCUGAUGUCCCCUCAUCCCUGAUCAGACCCUCAGAAAUGGUAAAGGCAGGGCCUCAGGAAGGGUCAGCUGAGAAAUGCAUCUGAAAUGAAGGUUCAAUUCAGCCAAGGCAGCAUUGACCUUCAACUGAAAGGAACAUUCCUUUUUAGUUGUGCCGGUAUACCAGCGCCUCGUAGAUAUUGCCAUGUUCAUUAGUUAUGGCCCUGUGGCUGCCAGGUGCUCGCGUUCUGCAGGGAACGGCGGGUUCAGACCCACUGCACGUGCCUGCCAGCCUCCCAGACCUGCUGGGCUCGGGAACGCUCCAGUCUCGGGGCCCAGCCUGGGAGCCCAGCUCUCCACGCAGCCAACAAUGUCAUCUGAACAAUGGUGCGCUGAGGGGAGACGUCCUUCUCAGUCCGGAGCUCCAAAAUGGGACACUUCGGAGAGGCUGAAUGAUACCUCCUAACUCUGGGAGGGCCUGGGAGCCCAGCUCUCCACGCAGCCAACAAUGUCAUCUGAACAUGCCACUUGGAGGAUGUCUGUCCUUGGGAAAGUCACUGAAAAUGGGAAUAAUAAUGCUCGCUUUGCAGACACCAAGCAUCAUGGACCUGGGAUUGGGAAAAGCUAGUUGCUUUGUAAAUAAAUACUAUCAGUCAGUCUUAUGUACAAUAUAUUCCUUAUAGCAAUUUAUUCCUCAAAUAACACAUCAACGUAGUUAUAACAACCACACUUGGCAGAUCAGCUAAUUGAAAUCUUUAAAUGUUUCACCUGUGCAGAGUCACAUAAGUAACAGAGCCUUGGGGCGCCUGGGUGGCUCAGUCGGUUAAGAGUCUGCCUUUGGCUCAGGUCAUGAUCCCAGGGUCCUGGGAUUGAGCCCCGCAUCGGGCUCCAUGCUCCACUGGGAAGCCUGUUUCUUCCUCUCCCACUCCCCCUGCUUGUGUUUCCUCUCUCGCUGGCUGUCUCUCUGUCAAAUAAAUAAAAUCUUUAAAAAAAAAAAAAAAAAAGCAGUGGAGCCUUGAUUCAAACCCAAAUCUGAGAAAGUCCAAAACUACUUGUCACACCAGUCAUUCCAUAUAUUUUAGAAUUUUAUAUUUUAUAUAUAUAUAUAUAUAUAUAUA